This 130-nucleotide microRNA precursor is filed under the name Glycine max (soybean). Its description in RNAcentral is "miR5030 stem-loop (gma-MIR5030)". The record is from miRBase by way of RNAcentral. Lineage: Eukaryota; Viridiplantae; Streptophyta; Magnoliopsida; Fabales; Fabaceae.
UUCCGGUGAAGAACAAUUUGUGUUUUACCGGAAGAACCUUUUUUCGGAAGCUUUCCGGAAGAACCUUCUUCCGGAACCUUUCCGGAAGAAGGUUCUUCCGGAAGAACAAAUUGUUGUUCUUCCAGAAGAA